CUACGGGUUGCAGCAGUCAAGAAUCUUCCACAAUGACCGAAAGGUUGAUGGAGCGACGCCGCGUGUAUGAUGAAGCCCCUCGGGGUGUAAAGUACUUUUAUGUGGGACGAAACAAUGACGGUACCACAAGAAUAAGGGGCUGCUAACUUCGUGCCAGCAGCAGCGGUAAUACGAGAGGCCCCUAGCGUUAUCCGGAUUUAUUGGGCGUAAAGGGUCCGUAGGCGGUUUACUACAUCUCCUGUUAAAUCCCAAGGCUUAACCUUGGAACCGCGGGAGAGAUGGAUAGACUAGAGGCCGGUAGAGGCAAGCGGAAUUGUUGGUGUAGGGGUUAAAUCCGUUAAUAUCAACAGGAACACCAAAUGCGAAGGCAGCUUGCUAGAACGAGCCUGACGCUCAGGGACGAAAGCGUGGGGAGCGAAUGGGAUUAGAUACCCUGGUAGUC
RNAcentral lists this ribosomal RNA (442 nucleotides) under uncultured bacterium. Its description in RNAcentral is "partial 16S ribosomal RNA". It matches the Rfam family "Bacterial small subunit ribosomal RNA", at positions 339 to 795 of the family's 1533-position model. The record is from RNAcentral.